Molecule: ribosomal RNA, 438 nt
Filed under: uncultured bacterium
Lineage: Bacteria
Description: bacterial SSU rRNA
Rfam family: Bacterial small subunit ribosomal RNA
Source: RNAcentral
AACGCGAAGAACCUUACCAGGUCUUGACAUCCUCUGAUAACUCUGGAGACAGAGCGUUCCCCUUCGGGGGACAGAGUGACAGGUGGUGCAUGGUUGUCGUCAGCUCGUGUCGUGAGAUGUUGGGUUAAGUCCCGCAACGAGCGCAACCCCUGUCCCAUGUUGCCAGCGAGUUAUGUCGGGGACUCAUGGGAGACUGCCGGUGACAAAUCGGAGGAAGGUGGGGAUGAUGUCAAGUCAUCAUGCCCCUUGUGUCCUGGGCUACACACGUGCUACAUUGGCCGGUACAGAGGGCUGCAAACUCGCGAGGGUGAGCGAAUCCCAAAAAGCCGGUCUCGGUUCGGAUUGAAGGCUGAAACUCGCCUUCAUGAAGGCGGAGUCGCUAGUAAUCGCAGAUCAGCAAUGCUGCGGUGAAUACGUUCCCGGGCCUUGUACACACCG